UGCAAGUCGAACGCGUUGGCCCAAUUGAUUGAUGGUGCUUGCACCUGAUUGAUUUUGGUCGCCAACGAGUGGCGGACGGGUGAGUAACACGUAGGUAACCUGCCCAGAAGCGGGGGACAACAUUUGGAAACAGAUGCUAAUACCGCAUAACAGCGUUGUUCGCAUGAACAACGCUUAAAAGAUGGCUUCUCGCUAUCACUUCUGGAUGGACCUGCGGUGCAUUAGCUUGUUGGUGGGGUAACGGCCUACCAAGGCGAUGAUGCAUAGCCGAGUUGAGAGACUGAUCGGCCACAAUGGGACUGAGACACGGCCCAUACUCCUACGGGAGGCAGCAGUAGGGAAUCUUCCACAAUGGGCGCAAGCCUGAUGGAGCAACACCGCGUGAGUGAAGAAGGGUUUCGGCUCGUAAAGCUCUGUUGUUAAAGAAGAACACGUAUGAGAGUAACUGUUCAUACGUUGACGGUAUUUAACCAGAAAGUCACGGCUAACUACGUGCCAGCAGCCGCGGUAAUACGUAGGUGGCAAGCGUUAUCCGGAUUUAUUGGGCGUAAAGAGAGUGCAGGCGGUUUUCUAAGUCUGAUGUGAAAGCCUUCGGCUUAACCGGAGAAGUGCAUCGGAAACUGGAUAACUUGAGUGCAGAAGAGGGUAGUGGAACUCCAUGUGUAGCGGUGGAAUGCGUAGAUAUAUGGAAGAACACCAGUGGCGAAGGCGGCUACCUGGUCUGCAACUGACGCUGAGACUCGAAAGCAUGGGUAGCGAACAGGAUUAGAUACCCUGGUAGUCCAUGCCGUAAACGAUGAGUGCUAGGUGUUGGAGGGUUUCCGCCCUUCAGUGCCGGAGCUAACGCAUUAAGCACUCCGCCUGGGGAGUACGACCGCAAGGUUGAAACUCAAAGGAAUUGACGGGGGCCCGCACAAGCGGUGGAGCAUGUGGUUUAAUUCGAAGCUACGCGAAGAACCUUACCAGGUCUUGACAUCUUGCGCCAACCCUAGAGAUAGGGCGUUUCCUUCGGGAACGCAAUGACAGGUGGUGCAUGGUCGUCGUCAGCUCGUGUCGUGAGAUGUUGGGUUAAGUCCCGCAACGAGCGCAACCCUUGUUACUAGUUGCCAGCAUUAAGUUGGGCACUCUAGUGAGACUGCCGGUGACAAACCGGAGGAAGGUGGGGACGACGUCAGAUCAUCAUGCCCCUUAUGACCUGGGCUACACACGUGCUACAAUGGACGGUACAACGAGUCGCGAACUCGCGAGGGCAAGCAAAUCUCUUAAAACCGUUCUCAGUUCGGACUGCAGGCUGCAACUCGCCUGCACGAAGUCGGAAUCGCUAGUAAUCGCGGAUCAGCAUGCCGCGGUGAAUACGUUCCCGGGCCUUGUACACACCGCCCGUCACACCAUGAGAGUUUGUAACACCCAAAGUCGGUGGGGUAACCUUUUAGGAGCCAGCCGCCUAAGG
RNAcentral lists this ribosomal RNA (1450 nucleotides) under Limosilactobacillus fermentum. RNAcentral's name for it is "bacterial SSU rRNA". It matches the Rfam family "Bacterial small subunit ribosomal RNA". Lineage: Bacteria; Bacillati; Bacillota; Bacilli; Lactobacillales; Lactobacillaceae. The record is from RNAcentral.